This 463-nucleotide transfer-messenger RNA is filed under the name Candidatus Dojkabacteria bacterium. It matches the Rfam family "transfer-messenger RNA". Rfam says of the family: Bacterial tmRNA, also known as 10Sa RNA or SsrA, is named for its dual tRNA and mRNA-like properties. The record is from RNAcentral.
GGGGAUGUACUGGAUUCGACAGGGAAUAUACUUCAUAAGCAGCAAGCCGGGGUUUGGCAUUUCACCUCGUUAGAAUAGAAAUUCCAAACAUCUUAAGCGCAAACAAUAGUGUUGCCCGACUCGUUAAUGCCGUUAGACAGGCAAAAGAUGGUUUCGUUGCUAUGCUUCAAGCACCAGCUAUGAACUACAACUUUGCCUAACUUUCGGAGUUUAAUGAGUUCCUAAUCCGCAUUGCGGAGUAGGGGUCCUAGGAUACUUUUCCUUUCGAGUUGAUCAGGACCGUCACAAAGAAAGGAUGCUGUUUGGUUAGUCAUUGUUGAUUCUAAUCAAGCAAAAGAUCGAUAUUGACACUCUAGCUCGCUUUUGUCUAUUUCAAUAAGCUAGAGAAUACAAAUAGACUAAGCUUGUAGCGGUUUAUGGGGAUAGUUCUUGGACGGGGGUUCGAUUCCCCCCAUCUCCACCA